ACAGCCUGUUCUUCUGAGCUGAGCAGUUUGCAGGAAUGAGAAUGAAGCCUUUGUGUGGGAAGAGGGUGCGACUCGUGUUCUUGUACACAGGCUGUGUACCAUUACCUGCGCUACUCUGAACCUGCGAGAGACAGAAUAGGCAGAAGGAAGCAGGAAGGGAAAUGGACAAGACAGGAGCCUAGGGAAGGAGGCAGGGACUUGCAGCCAACAGGCCCAGGGAAGCCAUGAGGCAUGGCAAUGUUUAACUAAAUAAAGAAUAGAAGGCAUGGAAGAGAUGAGAAUGGGCCUGCUGAAGGCACAAGCGUUGGCAGGGCUGCAAUGGCCCAGUCCCUUUGCUUGCUGUGACACACCAAGGUGUGGGCACUGAAAUCUUGGCAUGCUUCCUCCUGCUGGUGCUCCCUCUCUUGACUUUUCUCGCUUCCUUUUCUCAGAUGAUGCUGUAGAAAAAGUUAUUUCUCUCCAUUCUCUCCCUCCCCACAUUCUACUGGAGUCAGCUGCCUAGAGUAGUCUGAUAGUAAGAAAUAAAUACUAAAGAAAAAGUAAAUCUUGUUCACCAGUUUACACAAAGCAAAGGUCUUGAUGAUGAACAAUAUGAAAACAAUGUGCUUUGGCAGGGAAAAUAUUUAUUAUUCAUUAAAUUUGUAUACCGCCAUACACCCGUAGGUCUCAGAGCAGUUCACAACACAAAAAAAGGUAAAGGUAAAGGACCCCUGACAGUUAAGUCCAGUCAUGAAUGACUCUGGGGUUACAGCGCUCAUCUCACUUUACUGGGUGAGGGAGCCGAUAUUUGUCCACAGACAGUUUUCCCGGGUUAUGUGGCCAGCAUGACUAAGCCGCUUCUGGCAAAACCAGAGCAGCGCACGGAAACGCUGUUUACCUUCCUACCUGUUUAUCUACUUGCACUUUGACGUGCUUUCACACUGCUAGGUUGGCAGGAGCAGGGACCGAACAACGGGAACUUACCCGUCGCGGGGAUUUGAACCGCCGACCUUCUGAUCAGCAAGCCCAAGAGGCUCAGUGGUUUAGACCACAGCGCCACCCGUGUCCCUCACAGCGCCACCCAUGUACACACACACACACACACACAAAAUAAUAAUAAUAUAUAUUUUUUAAAAAUCAAGAAUCCCCCCCUCCUUAGCCAUUUGGAUGCUCCAGAGGUCAGCGAGGGUUUUGACAGAAGUGCCAGUCCUAUCAGCUGGGAAAUCCCCCAGAGCCAUUUGGAAAACCAUUGUAUCCAUCAGCCUCCAAGGGCAGACCAUCCUCACAGGUCCCCCACCUCUGCGGAGGGGGAAAGGUGUUGAAAGCCUAAAUCUCAACAGGAAGUGAUCUGAGCAUGACAAGAGGGUGAGAUCAACAUCCCCCACUUUCAGAUACCCUUUUCCUGCCAGUUGAGAAAACAAGGUCCAGAGUGUGGCUUGCCACAUUUGUUGGCAUGAUAAAAUAUUACCAUCAUGUUUGCCUGCUACCCUUCCUCAGGUGUGUUAUGUGGCCUUAUCUCAUAACAACCUUGCAAGGCUGAGAGACAAGAACCAAAAUUAAUCAGUGAACUUCAUGCCUGAGCAACUAUUUGAACCGAGGUCUCCUGAGUCCAAGUCUAAUACUCUAUCUGCUAUCCGCCACCCUAGCUCUGAAGAUUUAAUCAACAUUCAUUGUAAGCAAAUUUGUUUCCAUGAAUGUUACAAAUUUCUAUUAUGAGAGCAAUUAAAUGCUGUUAUGAAUUACUGGAUUAUGUUUAUAAAUAUGGGAUGGCUUCUUGUACGUGUUUUAGUAUGAUAAAGUGCUUUAAAAUAAUCUCGUUAGUUAUGAAGAAUGUGGCUUUCUGUCAUUCAGCUCCAAAUUAACAAAGAAAAAAUAGCUUUCACAGCAGGAAAAUCAAGCCAGAAAGAUUUUGUUGUUUUGUUUGGACCACACAUUCCAUGUUGGCUCAUUAAUUUAAUUGAUUAAUCUCAAGGACAAUAAGAGACUAAACAUUCUAUUUUAUUCAUAUUAGUAUUUGUUGUAUUAAAUAGAGUAUGUUGGUACACCCUCUAUCUAUCUAUCAUCUAUCUAUCUAUCGAUCUAUAUCAUCACGGAAUCAUAGAGUUGGAAGGGGCCCAAGAAUCACCUAGUCCAACCCGCUGCAAUGCAGCAAUCUCAAGGCACGGUCCCCAUCCCGCUUGAAACCGCAGCAAACCCUCCUUAGCUUUGCAAAUGUGCUAGCAGUUUUAUCGCUGGAAAAAGUGCUGGGAGCCACUCCACGCGUGCCACCCCCACUCGUCCAUCUCCCUCACAGCUGGCACAGCCACUCACCACAGCAGCCCGAGGGCGCCCCUCAGAUGCCUGCCCACUUGCCCAGCCAGCACCUGCCCGGCCGCCACGCCUCUCACUCUCCGCUGGCGCUUUCCCUGCGAAAUUUGCCAGGUCAUUCCCAUUUGCCCCUUGGGGCCAGAGGUGGCUUGUUAUGGUUUCAUUUCACAGUAAAGGGCUGAGGAGGGAACUCGCUGUGCUGCUGCUGCUGCUGCUGCUGCCUGGUGCCUUCCUCCUCCUGCGCCCGAGUGGGAGCACUGGAAAGCCCUGUUGCUGCUCCGCUUUGCUACCUGCCCCUGCCUCUUUCCUCCUCUCAGUCCCUAACUAUGAUAGAAAUGGUACAAAACAACAACAACAACAACAACAACAACAAAACCUGGACAUCUUGCCAAAUUGUAAAAAUCCGCCUAGACAGAAAUUCAAACCCUAAGAAAGAGAACAUGUCUGGGGAAAACCAGACAUAUGCCAACCCUACUUACAUAUAAAAACAAGAACAACUCAAAACAUAGGAAAAAAUCAUUUAAAAAACCCAUGAAACAAUGAUAUAAUUAAGAUUACACACACACAUCUAUUUGUUGUUGUUGUUUAGUUGUUUAGUCGUGUCCGCCUCUUCGUGACCCCAUGGACUAGAGCACGCCAGGCACUCCUGUCUUCCACUGCCGCAGUUUGGUCAGACUCAUGUUUGUAGCUUUGAGAACACUAUCCAACCAUCUCGUCCUCUGUCGUCCCCUUCUCCUUGCGAACAUCAUCGGCGCGGCUCCCUCGCUGCCUCCUCCGCCGCGGGGUUGGAGGGGCCCGGCCAAGAAUUACGAGGGAGGAGGAAGCGGCUCACUCUGGAUCCACCAAGCGAGUCUGGGGGAAACCCACCAUCCUGAGGAUCUCGGGGGGAACGGACCUUGAGAGAGACCUGCAGACACAGAGUCCUCUGCGAAGCGGGUCUUCGUGAGCUGCCAGCGUCUUGGAGGAGGAAUGGAAGGACCCGCCUGCAAUAGGCCCACCACAUGGAGAAACAAAGAGUGCUUUCUUUGGCAUUUGUCAGAAAAAGGGGGGAAUUUCCCUAGGCCAUAGAAGUUUUAUAUUGAUUUACGAUGAACACUUCAGGUUUUGUGGAAGCGACUAUCAUUUGUUAUUAUUUUUAUCCUAAGCUCAGCCAAAUAUAAUAUACUUCAGUUGAAGAAUGACAAUGGGAGAGUGUGGUCGAUCACUGCCAGUUUUUGACACUGGAUAGUAGAUGACACCUGACUUGAAGUUGGACAUACCUGUAUCUAUUGGGAACCUUCCUUGUGAGAAAAGGCAAUAUGCUUAUGUCACACCAAGUGCAGUAGAGAGAGACCAGCAGAACAUAUUUCAAGAUGGGACACUUGCAGAGUCUAUUCUACAACCUCUGAAAAUGCAUCAGAAUUCAAGUGGAAUGUGUGGCAUCCAUCUUUGUAUAAGGAACCAACAAAACUGAUCCUGCAUUUCAUUCAGUUCAAAAAAGUUUCAAAUGAGAUCAUGACCAACUUUAAAAAAAACAGCUGAAGAUAAAACACAAUAGAUCACUUGGGGAAAUUUAUACUG
Molecule: long non-coding RNA, 3846 nt
Filed under: Podarcis lilfordi (Lilford's wall lizard)
Lineage: Eukaryota; Metazoa; Chordata; Lepidosauria; Squamata; Lacertidae
Source: RNAcentral